CAGUACCGUGAGGGAAAGGCGAAAAGAACCCCGGCGAGGGGAGUGAAAAAGAACCUGAAACCGUGUACGUACAAGCAGUGGGAGCCCCACCACUAAGCCAGUGGUGAACUCCACAUACGCAUCCUUUGCUGAGGAUACGGUUAACGGAGCGAAAGCGACGUUCAACCUCAAAAGAAGCAGAGGGGGCUUAGUGGUGGGGUGACUGCGUACCUUUUGUAUAAUGGGUCAGCGACUUAUAUUCUGUAGCAAGGUUAACCGAAUAGGGGAGCCGGAGGGAAACCGAGUCUUAAUUGGGCGUUAAGUUGCAGGGUAUAGACCCGAAACCCGGUGAUCUAGCCAUGGGCAGGUUGAAGGUUGGGUAACACUAACUGGAGGACCGAACCGACUAAUGUUGAAAAAUUAGCGGAUGACCUGUGGCUGGGGGUGAAAGGCCAAUCAAACCGGGAGAUAGCUGGUUCUCCCCGAAAGCUAUUUAGGUAGCGCCUCGUGAAUUCAUCUCCGGGGGUAGAGCACUGUUUCGGCUAGGGGGUCAUCCCGACUUACCAACCCGAUGCAAACUGCGAAUACCGGAGAAUGUUAUCACGGGAGACACACGGCGGGUGCUAACGUCCGUCGUGAAGAGGGAAACAACCCAGACCGCCAGCUAAGGUCCCAAAGUCAUGGUUAAGUGGGAAACGAUGUGGGAAGGCCCAGACAGCCAGGAUGUUGGCUUAGAAGCAGCCAUCAUUUAAAGAAAGCGUAAUAGCUCACUGGUCGAGUCGGCCUGCGCGGAAGAUGUAACGGGGCUAAACCAUGCACCGAAGCUGCGGCAGCGACACUGUGUGUUGUUGGGUAGGGGAGCGUUCUGUAAGCCGUUGAAGGUGUGUCGUGAGGCAUGCUGGAGGUAUCAGAAGUGCGAAUGCUGACAUAAGUAACGAUAAUGCGGGUGAAAAACCCGCACGCCGGAAGACCAAGGGUUCCUGUCCAACGUUAAUCGGGGCAGGGUGAGUCGACCCCUAAGGCGAGGCCGAAAGGCGUAGUCGAUGGGAAACGGGUUAAUAUUCCCGUACUUGGUGUUACUGCGAAGGGGGGACGGAGAAGGCUAUGUUGGCCGGGCGACGGUUGUCCCGGUUUAAGCGUGUAGGUGUGUGUUCCAGGUAAAUCCGGUUCACUUUAACACUGAGGCGUGAUGACGAGGCACUACGGUACUGA
Molecule: ribosomal RNA, 1191 nt
Filed under: Salmonella enterica
Lineage: Bacteria; Pseudomonadati; Pseudomonadota; Gammaproteobacteria; Enterobacterales; Enterobacteriaceae
Description: partial 23S ribosomal RNA
Rfam family: Bacterial large subunit ribosomal RNA
Source: RNAcentral